This 82-nucleotide transfer RNA is filed under the name Medicago truncatula (barrel medic). RNAcentral's name for it is "tRNA gene23588". The stretch from base 10 to 81 matches the Rfam family "tRNA". Rfam says of the family: Transfer RNA (tRNA) molecules are approximately 80 nucleotides in length. Their secondary structure includes four short double-helical elements and three loops (D, anti-codon, and T loops). Further hydrogen bonds mediate the characteristic L-shaped molecular structure. tRNAs have two regions of fundamental functional importance: the anti-codon, which is responsible for specific mRNA codon recognition, and the 3' end, to which the tRNAs corresponding amino acid is attached (by aminoacyl-tRNA synthetases). tRNAs cope with the degeneracy of the genetic code in two manners: having more than one tRNA (with a specific anti-codon) for a particular amino acid; and 'wobble' base-pairing, i.e. permitting non-standard base-pairing at the 3rd anti-codon position. The record is from RNAcentral. Lineage: Eukaryota; Viridiplantae; Streptophyta; Magnoliopsida; Fabales; Fabaceae.
UAAUAAGUUGCCCUUAUAGCUCAGUGGUAGAGCGUCAGUCUUGUAAACUGAAGGUCCGUAGUUCGAUCCUGCGUGAGGGCAA